CCUACGGGUGGCAGCAGUGAGGAAUAUUGGUCAAUGGGCGCGAGCCUGAACCAGCCAAGUAGCGUGAAGGAUGACUGCCCUAUGGGUUUUAAACUUCUUUUAUAUGGGAAUAAAAUAUUUCAUGUAUACGCUUUUGAAUGUACCUUAUGAAUAAGGAUCGGCUAACUCCGUGCCAGCAGCCGCGGUAAUACGGAGGAUUCGAGCGUUAUCCGGAUUUAUUGGGUUUAAAGGGAGCGUAGGUGGGUUGUUAAGUCAGUUGUGAAAGUUUGCGGCUCAACCGUAAAAUUGCAGUUGAAACUGGCAGGCUUGAGUACAGUAGAGGUGGGCGGAAUUCGUGGUGUAGCGGUGAAAUGCUUAGAUAUCACGAAGAACUCCGAUUGCGAAGGCAGCCCACUGGACUGUAACUGACGCUGAGGCUCGAAAGUGUGGGUAUCAAACAGGAUUAGAUACCCGAGUAGUC
RNAcentral lists this ribosomal RNA (460 nucleotides) under uncultured bacterium. RNAcentral describes it as "partial 16S ribosomal RNA". It matches the Rfam family "Bacterial small subunit ribosomal RNA", at positions 338 to 795 of the family's 1533-position model. The record is from RNAcentral.